AAUUGAACAACGCAAAACCAACUUUCGGUAUUCUCUAGUUUAUCGGUGCGAGGUCCGUCGGAUCCAAGACCAUUGAUUCUGAGAAGGGAAAAGGAGACCAAAUCCCAGCGGGCAAUCUUGGGUGCGGUGCUUCCCAGCCCUUGGGCUGGUGGGAAGGAGCGCAAUGAUUGAACGUACAU
Molecule: small RNA, 179 nt
Filed under: Scedosporium apiospermum
Lineage: Eukaryota; Fungi; Ascomycota; Sordariomycetes; Microascales; Microascaceae
Description: A. fumigatus sRNA Afu_182
Rfam family: A. fumigatus sRNA Afu_182
Source: Rfam by way of RNAcentral